GUGGGGAAUAUUGCACAAUGGGGGAAACCCUGAUGCAGCGAUGCCGCGUGGAGGAAGAAGGUUUUCGGAUUGUAAACUCCUGUCUUAAAGGACGAUAAUGACGGUACUUUAGGAGGAAGCUCCGGCUAACUACGUGCCAGCAGCCGCGGUAAUACGUAGGGAGCGAGCGUUGUCCGGAAUUACUGGGUGUAAAGGGAGCGUAGGCGGGAGUGCAAGUCAGGUGUGAAAACUAUGGGCUCAACCCAUAGACUGCACUUGAAACUGCAUUUCUUGAGUGAAGUAGAGGUGAGCGGAAUUCCUGGUGUAGCGGUGAAAUGCGUAGAUAUCAGGAGGAACACCGGUGGCGAAGGCGGCUUACUGGGCUUUUACUGACGCUGAGGCUCGAAAGCGUGGGGAGCAAACAGG
Molecule: ribosomal RNA, 405 nt
Filed under: uncultured bacterium
Lineage: Bacteria
Description: bacterial SSU rRNA
Rfam family: Bacterial small subunit ribosomal RNA
Source: RNAcentral